UCUUUAAAUCAUUCCCUCUCUCUUUAAAGCUCUUUUGUGGAUGGAAGAAUGGAAAUGGAAGUAAUGAGGAAAUGGUGCAGUGGGAAUCCCUAUUUAUAGAAAAUGGGGACUGUUAGAUUUGUGUCAAGUGGUGAAAUAUGGUGAAGAGAGAUAAAGUAAAUGGGAAAGGUAAGAUGUGACAACCGACUGAUGUGACCAACAGAUGUGAUCGAUGGAUGGAUGAUGCGAUGUGACGGCAAAGCAAAAAUUAGAGGCAUGCCACCCAAAUGACAGUGACAUGUCACCCAAGCGACGGCUUGUACACCACCCAAGCCGGUGGCGGCGCGCCGUCCACAGGUGUGCACGGUGCCCAACGGUGCGGCGCGCCCUGUCGGAGGCAGUGCACGUCGUCCCAGCAUGUCGCACUCGCAGGCUUACUAUGUCUAGGCUUACUGCACCGACGAGCGCACACUAUGCACGUCCCGCGCUGGCUGCAUACACGCGUGAGCAGGAUCUCUCUCGC
RNAcentral lists this long non-coding RNA (502 nucleotides) under Carica papaya (papaya). RNAcentral's name for it is "long non-coding RNA (CPAP_LNC008339)". The record is from RNAcentral. Lineage: Eukaryota; Viridiplantae; Streptophyta; Magnoliopsida; Brassicales; Caricaceae.